GAUGAACGCUAGCUACAGGCUUAACACAUGCAAGUCGAGGGGUAACAAGAGGAAAGCUUGCUUUCCUUGUUGACGACCGGCGCACGGGUGAGUAACGCGUAUCCAACCUGCCUAUAACUAGGGAAUAACCUUGCGAAAGUAAGACUAAUACCCUAUGACUUCCUUUGAUGACAUCAGAUUAGGAAUAAAGAUUUAUCGGUUAUAGAUGGGGAUGCGUCUGAUUAGCUUGUUGGCAGGGUAACGGCCCACCAAGGCAACGAUCAGUAGGGGUUCUGAGAGGAAGGUCCCCCACAUUGGAACUGAGACACGGUCCAAACUCCUACGGGAGGCAGCAGUGAGGAAUAUUGGUCAAUGGGCGGAAGCCUGAACCAGCCAAGCAGCGUGCAGGAUGACGGCCCUAUGGGUUGUAAACUGCUUUUAUACAGGAAUAAAGUUAGCCACGUGUGGUUAUUUGUAGGUACUGUAUGAAUAAGGACCGGCUAAUUCCGUGCCAGCCGCCGCCGUAA
This 506-nucleotide ribosomal RNA is filed under the name uncultured bacterium. RNAcentral's name for it is "partial 16S ribosomal RNA". It matches the Rfam family "Bacterial small subunit ribosomal RNA", at positions 28 to 523 of the family's 1533-position model. The record is from RNAcentral.